GUCCUUCCACGGGCUGGUAGCAUACUUUGCUUUUAUUUUCAUGUUAUAUUUUAAGUAGGCGCACCGCCAAUGUGGGGCUUGAGCUUCCAACCCCGAGAUCAAGAGUCGCAUGGUUUACCGACUGAGCCAGCCGGGUACCCCGUCACUGUCUUCAUUCGGGCACGGAUCCUCACGUCAGUCAUUCACGGGGAAUCUAAGCACUGAGCUCUCCAUUCACACAAUGCAGAAUCUCCCACUGGUAACACUUCUGGUGCCGUGAUUCAGAUUGCUUAAGGAGCCCGGCUGAGCCCACACUGGAAACAGAGGACCGAGGGAGCCUAUGGAAGACA
Molecule: long non-coding RNA, 329 nt
Organism: Herpailurus yagouaroundi (jaguarundi)
Lineage: Eukaryota; Metazoa; Chordata; Mammalia; Carnivora; Felidae
Exons: 2
Source: RefSeq, a predicted model, not a curated record